CGUGUUACAAUUGGGAGGUACAGAAGGCCGCUACCUGGCGACAGGAUGCCAAUCCCCAAAAACCUCUCUCAGUUCGGAUCGAAGUCUGCAACCCGACUUCGUGAAGCUGGAUUCGCUAGUAAUCGCGCAUCAGCCAUGGCGCGGUGAAUACGUUCCCGGGCCUUGUACACACCGCCCGUCAAGCCAUGAAAGCCGGGGGUACCUGAAGUACGUAACCGCAAGGAUCGUCCUAGGGUAAAACUGGUAAUUGGGGCUAAGUCGUAACAAGGUACC
RNAcentral lists this ribosomal RNA (273 nucleotides) under uncultured bacterium. Its description in RNAcentral is "partial 16S ribosomal RNA". It matches the Rfam family "Bacterial small subunit ribosomal RNA", at positions 1221 to 1500 of the family's 1533-position model. The record is from RNAcentral.